GACGAACGCUGACGGUGUGCUUUAGACAUGCAAGUCGAACGAGAAAGCCCUUCGGGGUUAGUAAAGUGGCGAACGGGUGAGUAACACGUGGGCAAUCUGCCCCUCGCAGGGGGACAACCGGAGGAAACUCCGGCUAAUACCCCGUAAGUUCAAAGGGAGGCAUCUCUCUUCGAAGAAAGGUAGCUUCGGCCAUCCGGCGAGGGAUGAGCCCGCGGUGCAUUAGCUAGUUGGUGGGGUAACGGCCUACCAAGGCGACGAUGCAUAGCUGGUCUGAGAGGGAUGAUCAGCCACACUGGGACUGAGACACGGCCCAGACUCCUACGGGAGGCAGCAGUCGGGAAUCUUGCGCAAUGGGCGAAAGCCUGACGCAGC
This 372-nucleotide ribosomal RNA is filed under the name uncultured bacterium. Its description in RNAcentral is "bacterial SSU rRNA". It matches the Rfam family "Bacterial small subunit ribosomal RNA", at positions 28 to 392 of the family's 1533-position model. The record is from RNAcentral.